Molecule: unclassified non-coding RNA, 273 nt
Filed under: Biscogniauxia marginata
Lineage: Eukaryota; Fungi; Ascomycota; Sordariomycetes; Xylariales; Xylariaceae
Description: partial internal transcribed spacer region
Rfam family: Eukaryotic small subunit ribosomal RNA (bases 1-46)
Source: RNAcentral
AAGUCGUAACAAGGUCUCCGUUGGUGAACCAGCGGAGGGAUCAUUAGCGAGUUACUGGAAAACUCCAAACCCCUGUGAAUAUACCUAUUGUUGCCUCGGCAGGCUGUGCUGUCUGGUAGCUCCUACCCUGUAGUUACCCUGUAGCUGGUGGCUGCUACCCCGCAGCACGUUGUAAGGCCUGCCGGAGGACCUCUAAACUCUGAAUAUUACUGUAUGUCUGAGUCUAUUUGAGAAAUUGAGUUAAAACUUUCAACAACGGAUCUCUUGGUUCUG